CCUACGGGUGGCAGCAGUGGGGAAUAUUGCACAAUGGGGGAAACCCUGAUGCAGCGACGCCGCGUGAGCGAAGAAGUAUCUCGGUAUGUAAAGCUCUAUCAGCAGGGAAGAAAAUGACGGUACCUGACUAAGAAGCACCGGCUAAAUACGUGCCAGCAGCCGCGGUAAUACGUAUGGUGCAAGCGUUAUCCGGAUUUACUGGGUGUAAAGGGAGCGUAGACGGAUUAAUAAGUUGGUGGUCUAAGCCCGAAGCUUAACUUCGGUUCGCCACCAAAACUGUUAACCUUGAGUAUGGUAGAGGCAAGUGGAAUUUCUAGUGUAGCGGUUAAAUGCGUAGAUAUUAGAAGGAACAUCAGUGGCGAAGGCGACUUGCUGGGCCAACACUGACGCUGAGGCACGAAAGCGUGGGGAGCAAAUAGGAUUAGAUACCCUUGUAGUC
Molecule: ribosomal RNA, 439 nt
Filed under: uncultured bacterium
Lineage: Bacteria
Description: bacterial SSU rRNA
Rfam family: Bacterial small subunit ribosomal RNA
Source: RNAcentral